RNAcentral lists this long non-coding RNA (447 nucleotides) under Brassica napus (rape). RNAcentral describes it as "long non-coding RNA (BNAP_LNC014816)". Lineage: Eukaryota; Viridiplantae; Streptophyta; Magnoliopsida; Brassicales; Brassicaceae. The record is from RNAcentral.
AUUUACUGAUGAACUAACGAAAAAAUAUGAUAUUAAAUGUUUAUUUCAUUUUCUAGUUGUUGUUUUUUCUUUCAUAAAAGCAAGCAACUUGGGAAUUCGAUUUAACAAACAUAGAGACACUUAGAUUUUUGGCGGAGUUAAUUUGUUAUAUAGUGGUUUUAUUAGUAUCAUCACUGCAAUGUUAUUGUAUGAGAUGAAGACGAAAAAAAUGUAAUUCAGCAUUUUUAAAAUUAUGCAAUACACAAAAUAACAUUAGAAAUGUGUAAUUAAUUAGCACUUGGAAGCGCCUAUCAUUUAAGGUCCGAUUGUUUAUUUAUACUUUCGGGGUAUUUUUUCACUAUGCGCAUGCAGUUUGAGCUACUUUGAUACUGAGCUCUCACCAGACUAAUGUCGUUUUUUUUUUUUUUUUUUUUUUUUUUUAUGACAGAAACAGACGUAACAAUCAAA